RNAcentral lists this ribosomal RNA (937 nucleotides) under Alexandrium minutum. RNAcentral describes it as "LSU rRNA". It matches the Rfam family "Eukaryotic large subunit ribosomal RNA", at positions 1 to 875 of the family's 3401-position model. Lineage: Eukaryota; Dinophyceae; Gonyaulacales; Pyrocystaceae. The record is from RNAcentral.
ACAGCGUAAACUUAACAUGAAGUGAAGCAUGUAAACCUGCUGAAUUUAAGCAUAUAAGUAGGCGGUGGAAAAUGAACCAAAUGGGAUUCCUUAAGUAAUUGCGAAUGAACAAGGAAAUGCUCAGCUUGAAAAAUGGGGCCUUUGGCUUUGAAUUGUAAUUUUGAAAUGUAUUGCCAAUGGAGGCGCAGGUGCAAGCCUAUUGAAAGAAAGCGUCAAUGAGGGUGAGAUUCCUUUUUGUCAUUUGCAGUCCUCCGUGCGCGGUAUAUAUUUGACGAGUCACACUCCUCGGCAUUGGAAUGCAAAGUGGGUGGUAAAUUCCAUGUAAAGGUAAAUAUAUUAUUGAGACUGAUAGCAAACAAGUACCAUGAGGGAAAUAUGAAAAGGACUUUGAAAAGAGAAUUAAAAGAGUCUGCAUUUGCUGAGCAGAAAGCAAACAGAAUUGAUUUUACUUGGUGAGAUUGUUGUGCUUACUCUAUCAUUUAUAUGGUUGAUGUGGGUGCGAUGGUUCUUACCUUGAAUGUCAGCUUCUAUUUCUGCAAAUCAUUACCCUUGCACAUGAAUGGUAAUUUGCCUGCGGGUAUUGGAAUGCAUGUGUUUGCAAUGAUUUGUGAUUUGACGCAUGUGUUUGGUGAAAUUUGUAUAUGCUCUUUUGUCGAAGGGGAAAGCUUACUUUUUUGAGCAUUGCAAGCCCUUACACAUCAGUGCUGGCAAAAUGUUUCUGCUUGACCCGUCUUGAAACACGGACCAAGGAGUCUAACAGAUGUGCAAGUUCGUGGGUGGCAAACCUUUUUGCGCAAUGAAAGUAUUGGCUGGGAUACUUGCACCAGCAGCCGACCAAUUAGCAGACAGAGGUUUGAGUUUGAGCAUAUCUAUUAGGACCCGAAAGAUGGUGAACUAUGCCUGAACAGAAUGAAUCAGAGGAAACUCUGAUGACGUA